AUCGGGUAGGCACGCAGAUCGGGUAGCGACAUUUGUCAAGGAAAGAAACAUGGCGGCUGUUAAGCGUGUACUGUACGUGGGUGGGUUAGCAGAGGAAGUGGAUGAGAAGGUGCUUCAUGCAGCCUUUAUUCCAUUUGGUGAUAUUGUGGAUAUUCAGAUACCCCUGGAUUAUGAGACAGAAAAGCAUCGUGGAUUUGCAUUUAUUGAGUUUGAGAUGGCAGAGGAUGCAGCAGCUGCUAUUGAUAACAUGAAUGAGUCAGAGCUGUUUGGUCGCACAAUCCGUGUGAAUGUUGCAAAGCCUAUGAAGAUCAAAGAGGGUUCAUCAAGACCAGUGUGGUCAGAUGAUGAUUGGUUGAAGAAAUUUUCUGGGAAAACGGAAGAAUCAGAAGGACGAGAGUCAAGUGAGGAGCCCAGUAAGCUUGACACUGAGGAGACUGGACCUCCUGCAAAGAAGGGGAGAGUAAAUCCACAGGUAUACCUGGAUAUUAAAAUUGGCAACAAACCUGCUGGCAGAAUCCGAUUCCUCCUGAGAGCUGAUAUUGUGCCCAUGACAGCAGAAAACUUCCGCUGCCUCUGUACACAUGAAAAAGGCUUUGGAUUCAAAGGCAGCAGCUUUCAUCGGAUCAUUCCACAGUUUAUGUGCCAAGGGGGAGACUUUACCAACCACAAUGGCACAGGGGGAAAAUCUAUCUAUGGUCGUAAAUUUGAUGAUGAGAACUUUAUUCUAAAGCACACGAGAGAAGUCCAGGUUUGUUGUCCAUGGCAAAUUCUGGCCCGAACACUAAUGGAUCACAGUUUUUCAUCACUUGUGACAAAACCGACUGGCUAGACGGAAAACAUGUGGUCUUUGGAGAAGUUAUUGAAGGAAUGGACGUGGUUCGUGCAAUAGAGGCUCAGGGUAUGAAGGAUGGGAAAGCAAAGCAGACCGUGAUCAUUUCUGACUGUGGGGAAUACAUGUGAGAACAAGAUUUAGCAUGAUGUACAAAGGAAUGGACAAAUUAAACUGACAAGAGUUGAUAGCUUGUUUCAUGGAACAGAUGGUUGUGUAGACUUGAAUUAAUACACGACUGUAAAAAGGAUAACAUCAGUUUAUUCAGACUGCUAAAAUACAAGAUUAUAUAUAUAUA
Molecule: RNA transcript, 1127 nt
Organism: Polypterus senegalus (gray bichir)
Lineage: Eukaryota; Metazoa; Chordata; Cladistia; Polypteriformes; Polypteridae
Gene: ppie
Gene name: peptidylprolyl isomerase E (cyclophilin E)
Exons: 10
Source: RefSeq, a predicted model, not a curated record